CGCGAAAGUGCGCGGGACUAUACUUGGAAAAGUCGCUCAGGUGUAGUUUCUGAAGCGCCGGCGGAGCUGGACCGAAGCCCCUUUUUUUGUCCCGCGCCUUGGGCGUUUCCCGGGCAAAUGUGUCGGCGUUGGGUCAAGUUGAAUACCUGUUCUUUGCCCUGUGGCCAGGUCCAGCGCGCAAGAGGGAAGAGCGUGUCUGCUGGAACGGAAAAGUUUUAUAUUCGCGUUCACGACGAGGCUGUCCAGGCACUUAAGGAGAAAAACCUGCAGCAGAGACUGAAGAGGCAGUCAGGACGGGUUUCUUAUUAGAGAAGGCAAGGGAAGACCGCGUCUGAAGACGGAGGGAGUGAUUAACUGCAGAGUGCUGCUGGGAGGUCAAGUAAGAGGACUAAGGAAGGUCUGUUGUGUAUAGUAACAUGGAGGCCAGUGAAACUUUAGUAAGAACUACUUAGGUAGAAAGAUGGAAGCUGGAUUCAGGAGAGCUGAGGAACGAGAAGGAGGUGAGGAAAUGAAUCUCCUCACCCUUCAAAAAUCCGCUUAAAUGCCACUCGCUCUGAGACUCCUUACUCAGUAAUCUAAAUCUCCUUUUACGACCUCUUGUUGAAGUUUUAACCUUUUUUCAUGGCGAUUUGUAAUGUAAUCGGUUCGAUAAAUUGUUUUAUGUCUGUCUCCCCAACUACCUGAGCUCCGUAAGAACAGGAAUCCUGCUUAUUUUGUACUCUAUUACUAGCACCCUAGAGCUUAGUCUGAGCUCAGGAAAUAUUUAUUAUAUAAAUAGAACUUUAAAAGCUCUAAGUCCUUUAUUUCAUUUUAUCCACUUUCGAGUUGAGGAAAUUAGAAAGUUUUGUGAGCUUGCAUCAGAUCAUAUAGUAAGUGAAUAGCAGAAUCUAAGCACAGGUCAUCAGGCACCAAAAGUUUAAUAAUUCGGUAUUCUGCCUUCCCAAUUGAAAUUUCAAAUCAGUAAAUUGAUUUUACAAAUCAGUGAUUGAUUGUAGACUCGAAGUAAUUUUUCUUGAUGGAUGAUUAAAAAGGAACGACACAACUCUGUACCUUCAAGAAACUUCAGAUUCAAUGAGACAGACAUGUAAAUAAAUAUGAAUAACAUAAGGUGGUAAUACUUUCC
Molecule: long non-coding RNA, 1123 nt
Filed under: Neogale vison (American mink)
Lineage: Eukaryota; Metazoa; Chordata; Mammalia; Carnivora; Mustelidae
Description: Neovison vison (American mink) lncRNA (ENSNVIG00000007463.1)
Source: RNAcentral